This 874-nucleotide ribosomal RNA is filed under the name Botrytis cinerea. RNAcentral's name for it is "LSU rRNA". It matches the Rfam family "Eukaryotic large subunit ribosomal RNA", at positions 56 to 948 of the family's 3401-position model. Lineage: Eukaryota; Fungi; Ascomycota; Leotiomycetes; Helotiales; Sclerotiniaceae. The record is from RNAcentral.
GGAAAGAACCNACAGGGAUUACCUCAGUAACGGCGAGUGAAGCGGUAAAAGCUCAAAUUUGAAAUCUGGCUCUUUUAGAGUCCGAAUUGUAAUUUGUAGAAGAUGCUUCGGGUGUGGUUCCGGUCUAAGUUCCUUGGAACAGGACGUCAUAGAGGGUGAGAAUCCCGUAUGUGACUGGAUACCUAUGCUCAUGUGAAGCUCUUUCGACGAGUCGAGUUGUUUGGGAAUGCAGCUCAAAAUGGGAGGUAUAUUUCUUCUAAAGCUAAAUAUUGGCCAGAGACCGAUAGCGCACAAGUAGAGUGAUCGAAAGAUGAAAAGCACUUUGGAAAGAGAGUUAAACAGUACGUGAAAUUGUUGAAAGGGAAGCGCUUGCAAUCAGACUUGCACUUGGUGUUCAUCAGGGUCUCGUACCCUGUGUACUUCAUCAAGUUCAGGCCAGCAUCAGUUUGAGUGGUUAGAUAAAGGCUUAGAGAAUGUGGCCCUCUUCGGGGGGUGUUAUAGCUCUAGGUGCAAUGUAGCCUACUUGGACUGAGGACCGCGCUUCGGCUAGGAUGCUGGCGUAAUGGUUGUAAGCGACCCGUCUUGAAACACGGACCAAGGAGUGUACCUAAUAUGCGAGUGUUUGGGUGUUAAACCCAUACGCGUAAUGAAAGUGAACGCUGGUGAGAACCCUUAAGGGUGCAUCAUCGACCGAUCUUGAUGUCUUCGGAUGGAUUUGAGUAAGAGCAUAUUGGGUGCGACCCGAAAGAUGGUGAUCUAUACGUGAAUAGGGUGAAGCCAGAGGAAACUCUGGUGGAGGCUCGCAGCGGUUCUGACGUGCAAAUCGAUCGUCAAAUUUGCGUAUAGGGGCGAAAGACUAAUCGAACCAUCUAGU